CAGAGGCAACGUGGGAUUUUUGGGCCAAUUACUGCCUACCCAAGCUUAUUCGCUACUUGGGCUGAGUCACGUCAACAUGAGGAUGGGUCGUGGACAAGUGAGCUCAGGGCUAAGCAGCAUACAUAGAAUACAAGUCUGCAAGCACACGGUAGCCCACAACUGG
Erigeron canadensis is the source of this 163-nucleotide long non-coding RNA. RefSeq lists it as uncharacterized. NCBI's taxonomy places the organism in Eukaryota, Viridiplantae, Streptophyta, Magnoliopsida, Asterales, Asteraceae. The record is from RefSeq and is a predicted model, not a curated record. The transcript is spliced from 3 exons.